This 453-nucleotide ribosomal RNA is filed under the name Veillonella sp. oral taxon G89. Its description in RNAcentral is "bacterial SSU rRNA". It matches the Rfam family "Bacterial small subunit ribosomal RNA", at positions 38 to 474 of the family's 1533-position model. Lineage: Bacteria; Bacillati; Bacillota; Negativicutes; Veillonellales; Veillonellaceae. The record is from RNAcentral.
GGCGGCGUGUUAACACAUCAAGUCAACGAAGAGCGAUGAAGCUUGUUCUUCAUUUUUAGUGGCGAACGGGUGAGUAAGGGUAAUCAACUCCCUUCAGAGGGGGCCACCAUUGGAAACGACUGUAAUACGGCUUACGUUCUGCCUCGGCAUCGAGGAUAGAUGAAAAGUUGGCUUCUAUUUUAAGCUAUCACUGAAAGGAGGGGAUUGCGUCUGAUUAGCUAGUGGGAGGGGGUAACGGCCCACCAGGGCGAUGAUCAGUAGCCCGGUCUGAGAGGGAUGAACGGCCCACAUUGGGACUGAGACACGGCCCCAGACUCCUACGGGAGGCAGCAGUGGGGAAUCUUCCGCAAUGGACGAAAGUCUGACGGAGCAACGCCGCGUGAGUGAUGACGGCCUUCGGGUUGUAAAGCUCUGUUAAUCGGGACGAAAGGCCUUCUUGCGAAUAGUUAGAAG